Molecule: long non-coding RNA, 341 nt
Filed under: Heterocephalus glaber (naked mole-rat)
Lineage: Eukaryota; Metazoa; Chordata; Mammalia; Rodentia; Bathyergidae
Description: lncRNA (ENSHGLG00000048595.1)
Source: RNAcentral
CUCCAGUAACCUGGGACUCUAGCAGCUGCCAUCACUAUUUUUAUCCAGGGUCGCACCUUGGGAUUUUGCCCACUCAGGAAACCCAGCAGCCAGUGUAAAUCAACGCUCUCUUCCUUUCCAUCUGUGCUUCAUUGCAAGGAAGAAUCUACUCUGACAGAUGCAGCCACCUCUGCAAAAGCCCCACCUGUGACCACAAGAGGCUCUGAGGGGCCGUCCAGACCCAGCCCUGACAGGGAGUUUCCGCCCUUUGGUCAGAGGAAUGCCAGGUAAGCCCCCAGUGUGCGGGGGUGGAUGUUGGGUCAUUGUAACUCGGAUUGUGACACCACGGGACUGGCUUGACC